UACGUAGGGUGCAAGCGUUGUCCGGAAUUAUUGGGCGUAAAGAGCUCGUAGGCGGUCUGUCACGUCGACUGUGAAAUCCCGAGGCUCAACCUCGGGCCUGCAGUCGAUACGGGCAGACUAGAGUUCGGUAGGGGAGACUGGAAUUCCUGGUGUAGCGGUGAAAUGCGCAGAUAUCAGGAGGAACACCGGUGGCGAAGGCGGGUCUCUGGGCCGAAACUGACGCUGAGGAGCGAAAGCGUAGGGAGCGAACAGG
RNAcentral lists this ribosomal RNA (253 nucleotides) under uncultured bacterium. RNAcentral describes it as "partial 16S ribosomal RNA". It matches the Rfam family "Bacterial small subunit ribosomal RNA", at positions 524 to 776 of the family's 1533-position model. The record is from RNAcentral.